UCAACAUGAGGAGGAGCUCAUU
Molecule: microRNA, 22 nt
Filed under: Picea abies (Norway spruce)
Lineage: Eukaryota; Viridiplantae; Streptophyta; Pinopsida; Pinales; Pinaceae
Description: pab-miR11504
Source: miRBase by way of RNAcentral